AGAGUUUGAUCCUGGCUCAGGAUGAACGCUAGCGACAGGCCUAACACAUGCAAGUCGAGGGGCAUCGGGACGUAGCAAUACGUUGCCGGCGACCGGCGGAUGGGUGAGUAACGCGUAUGCAACCUACCCGCAGCAGGGGGAUAGCCCGUUGAAAGACGGAUUAAUACCCCGUAACACAGGGGCUCCGCAUGGAGAUUAUUGUUAAAGGGUCAUUUCUUUUUCAGGGAUGGUCCGGCUGCGGAUGGGCAUGCGUUCCAUUAGGUAGUUGGUGUAGGUAACGGCUCACCAAGCCGACGAUGGAUAGGGGAACUGAGAGGUUGGUCCCCCACACUGGUACUGAGACACGGACCAGACUCCUACGGGAGGCAGCAGUGAGGAAUCUUGGUCAAUGGACGCAAGUCUGAACCAGCCAUGUCGCGUGAAGGAGGACGGCCCUAAGGGUUGUAAACUUCUUUUGCAGUGGAAUAAAGUUUGCCACGUGUUGGCGAUUUGCAAGUACGCUGCGAAUAAGGAUCGGCUAACUCCGUGCCAGCAGCCGCGGUAAUACGGAGGAUCCGGGCGUUAUCCGGAUUUAUUGGGUUUAAAGGGUGCGCAGGCGGGGAAUUAGGUCGGCGGUGAAAUUUCGGGGCUCAGCCUCGACAGUGCCGUUGAAACCGUUUCUCUUGAGUGCGGAUGAGGUAGGCGGAAUUUGUGGUGUAGCGGUGAAAUGCGUAGAUAUCACAAGGAACACCGAUUGCGGAGGCAGCUUACUAAACCGUUACUGACGCUCAUGCACGAAGGCGUGGGGAUCAAACAGGAUUAGAUACCCUGAUAGUCCACGCAGUAAACGAUGAUUACUUGCUGUUUGCGAUACACAGUAAGCGGCGUAGCGAAAGCGUUAAGUAAUCCACCUGGGGAGUACGUUCGCAAGAUGAACUCAAGGAAUUGACGGGGCCCGCACAAGCGGUGGAGCAUG
RNAcentral lists this ribosomal RNA (955 nucleotides) under uncultured bacterium. RNAcentral's name for it is "bacterial SSU rRNA". It matches the Rfam family "Bacterial small subunit ribosomal RNA", at positions 8 to 941 of the family's 1533-position model. The record is from RNAcentral.